CGCGCCCGCUGCUGGGUCAUCGCCCGUUCUUGGGCGGGCGGCGGCUGGUUCUUUCCCUCUGACUAGGGGCUUAUCCCGGCACGGGGUUUCCUGGGAGAGGGGCGGAGGGCAGGGGCGCGCGCCCGGCGAGAGCUCUGCUAGGCAGCCGCUGCCUACUCCCCAGGGCAGGCAGAGGGUGUUCAGUAGCCCCCCAGGAGUUAAGGGGAUGGAGGCAGCACCCUCGAGGCAUUCAUUUAGAAGGGGGCUCUUUGCACGAUGCUCAGCAGCCCUUCCCCCCGCAGGGAGCUUUGCCCCACGGCAUCUGCCGGCCUGCUACCCUAAAAGCUAAUUCCUGAAUGUCAGUAAACGCCACAGAUCUUCUGCCACUAUUUUAAAUAAGUGAAUUACCUGCUUGGAACAACCACCUUAUUGAAAGGGAUAAUGAAUGAGCCAAUGUAUGGCACAGAACAAUCCGACGCUGGCAAGGCACUGACUAGAUGACCUAGCAGCACUCAUACUAUCAGGCAAGAUCACAGGAAAACCAGGAAGAGGAAGAAAGAGAGUCAGUUACACUGGAAAUGUCAUCAGGUGGACUGGCAUCCAAAGAAGAGUGGAGUUUUACAACUUUGUUGUGACCGCAAAAGAUGGAAGUUGAUGGUCAACAGCCUCUACGUUGGAGACCUCACUUGAAGAAGAUGCAGUACUAUAGUGAUUGCAAAAGCGAAGGAGGACAGGAUUGCAACUCAGGCCAUGCGUAAGUAAUAAGGAACUGGAGAGGCAUAGACCCGCACCACCUCCUCAGUCGGGAGCACGAGGGAAGAUACUGCGCAUGUAUGGGUCAACAGACAGCUUGGAAAAACUUCUGGACUCGGACACAUGGCAUGUAUGUGUAUCCACGUGUGGAAUUCACAUAGGGACCAGAACUUGAAGAAGAAUUGGGAUUGUUGAAUUCUAUUCCUAGCUCUGCUGCUGACUCCCUGUGUGAUCUUUGGCAAGUGAAUUAACCUGUUUGACAACUUACGCUUCUGUAAACUAGGGAUAAUAAUAUACUUCACAGACGGAGUGGUGUCAGGAGUUUCUGGUCUGCUUCCUGAUUAACUUUGCUUCUAGGUAACCCAUGAGACCAGCUGCACUGCUUUGGAACUGACAGAGUGGCCACAGCCCCUGAUUGGCUGCUGGUUUAGCAGCCCUACUGAUAAGCCUGGCCCCCCACAGCAGAUCAGCAGCUGCUCAAUGUGUACCAUGUCUUCAGCUGUGCUUGCCCUUGUUCCAGUCCCUGCUCCUGCAUUGUUCCAGCCUUUGUUGCAGUCCCUGCUCCUGCAUUGUUCCAGCCUUUAUUCCAGUCCCUGCUCCCCACCGGCUUCAGACUUCUGGCUUAGAUCUCCAGCUUUGCCUCUGGCUUAUGGCUCUGGUUGAUCAUCUAGUUCUGGCAUACAACGUCUGUCUCUCAGGAAUUGAUCCCUGGCUCUGUCUCUGGCUUACAUUUCUGAUUUACCCCCUGCCUCUGGCAUUUGGCUUCUGUCCCUCUGAUACUGACCCUUGGCUCAUUUCCUGACUCUGCCCAUCAUGGACCAGCUCUAACUGGUAGCCUGAACUCUUGCUUCCACCUGUGCACAGCCUUGUCGGCUACAAAUGGUGAGGCAUAAUUGAGGUUUGUAAAAUGCUUUGACGUAUGCAGAUGAAAGGGGCUUUUACCUAUGUAGAGUGUUCUUGUUACUUUACCAGCAUUUUAUAUUAUAUUCAACAAAACUUUUUAAAAGUAGCAGCAACAAAAGCCUGUCAUUUUGACAAGAACGAAAUAUUGCAUUGGAAAAGAAAGGAAAAAUUAAAAUGACAGAAUCCACUGAAAGGAAAAAGACAUAAUGGAGACAUCUGGCUCUGUGCUGAUAAAAGCUCUCACAGCUCCUAUCCCAUCAUCCCUUGCAGAGCUCAUCUGAAAGCGUAUCUUUCAAGGGUUUCCAAAAUGAAGAAAAACAUCUGUCCAAGUCUAACUAUGUUUGACCAACUGUUUAAAAAAAAAGUGUUCCAGUGAUAAAACCCUUAGGAAGAUAACCAUUUCUCAAACAAAAAGUCCGAGAGGGUUCAUCAGCCCGUUUGAGUAAUAAACAGAAGUGUGCCCUCACAAUCUCAGGGGUGACCUGCAAAUGCAUAUUAAACUCUCCAUUCUGUAUUACAUAAUUUUCUCUUCUUUUUAUAGCACAGGCUACCUGAGAAUUUACUCCCCUGAGAAGUUAAUAUCCCUCCUGGAACCUUUAGACACUUAUAAAAGCUGUCUGUAUAGCUCUGUUGGCAGCAUCUUGCCUCUUACUCAGAAGUCAUUGGGCUCAAUCCCACACUAGGCUUGGCUUCAUUAUUUUUAAUGCUGACACUGCAGUGUGGUAUUUGGAGUGGGGUGAGGGUUGCUGCUGCUGAGCAGAUAUUAAACUGAACUCCCUUUGUCUCGAGCUGCUGUGGCAUAUUUCAAAGAGAACUAGGGAUAGGGCAUUUGACUAGGACAUGGGGUUUUCUCAGUAAAACAGAUUCCCAGUACCAAGAUCUGUGUCAACUGUUGUGGAGCUCCAAAUCCUGCUCCUUCCUCCAUGCGCGUAGAGGGCCCUGCCUGAAGCAGUAGAGGUUCAGCGCCAUUGAGGGGGGAGGAAACAGAUUUUUUUAGAGACUGCAGCCAGGGGUUAUGCACACACCCAGCAUCCCUACAGAACUCAGCUCCGUAAGGGUUCCCACACAACCAUAUGCAGUGGCUGUUUGGAUGUAACACAGUAACAAUUGAUCUGUUGUUGCACAGAAUCUCCAACAUUGACCCAACAUGUGCAGGGGUACAGAGGCUACUGUAGUAGCACCAAGAUAGAUGUGGGGAGUGCGGGAAGAUCUCCUCCCUCAGCUCCCUCGGAAAACACCAGUAGCUAGCCUAGUUAUCCAGGCUGGGCACUGAGAACAGAUAUUUCCCCACAGUGCCUGGUGACUGCUGAUUUUGCUUUCACAGUCACUGCGCUAUGAAUAUCUAACGUAUUGUUGUAAAACACUUGGGUAUCUCAAAAGAAUGGCCAUACUGAGUCAGUAGUCCAGUAUUCUCUCUUCUGCCAGUGGCCAGUGAUCCAUCCUUUCAAAAGUCUGAAAGGUACCAUAGGAAAAUGCUAAUCUAAGAGAGAGAUGUCUUGCUAUAGGUUUAUAAUAAUGCCUCAUUUUCCAUGUCAGCUUUAGAAUUAUAAUGUAUCAGAUUGCAAUUUUCAAUGGGAAAUAACUAUGGUGUCUAAGAAACUGUGAUCUCAGUUCAUUGUUGGUUUCGGAAGUAGAGCUGCUGACACCACUUGGAAAGCCAUCCUACGUAGCAAUUCUGUAGAAAUGCAUAUCUUCUUUCCUUAGUAAUAAUACAGAAUGAGAGAAAGAGAAGGAACCAAUGACAACUGCAUAGAAACUAGGUCUCCUUGCGUGAGAGUUCAUCUCUUCCUGCUGCAUAUUCCCUACCUAAAAUUAUAAUCCUCUCUUUGUGAUCUAAUCAUUUCCACAGCAACCAAUUGUGAUAUCACAAACACUUCAUGUGGGGGGAAAAAAGCUGCAGGAAUAGAUGAACUCUGAAGAGCCAAAGCAUGCAUUUUUAUGCAAAUACCUUUAUUAAUAAAGAAAAAGGAGCAAAAUUCAGAAGUAUAAGAGAUAGCAGCAGACUUGUUUCUAAACAGACUGUUUUUCAUCGUAGAUGUCACCUGCUCUUAUAGAAAUUGUUUUCACUAUUGAAAGAACCUGCUCAGCUGGGACUCCACUGCCAACAAAGAUACAUGAGGAUUGUUGACUGGUGGCCCCAAACUGACCUUGGAGGGCAUAUGGUUUUGGGUAAAAUAUAAUCUAUUUGCUAACAUCCUUAGAGAAAUAAUAUACAUUAUUGAAGCUGUAACAGGAACUAGAAAAAUCCAAAUAUAUGUUUUAAAAAUAGGCUUGGCUAUAGGUUUUUAGUAUUAAGGGCUUAGUGAGGUCCAAAAGUAGUUGGCAGUUGAAUAAACUAACAUGAGUAUUCUGUGUUAGCAAAAUGUAUCUUGUGAUAGUUUAGAAAUGCACUAUGUGAUAAAUAGGUAAACUACAAACGAACAUACGGUUGUACCUUAGGGUACCUUUGCAAUAAGGUAGCCAUGCAGCUAACUGCAUUCACAUAUCAAAACUAUUGGUACAUUAACACAAAUGGGUUGCACCAGUGGUCAGAAGUUUAACUAGGCUUAGCUGGAAGAGCACACAUGGGCAGGGGCCAAAACCUUAUCAUAUAUGGUCCCGGACAUGCAUGGAUGAAAUAAGAGGUGUAUAAAAGAUUUAAAUAGAGACUGGGAGUGGCUGGGUCAUUACACAUAUUGAAUCUAUUUCCCCAUGUUAAGUAUCCUUACACCUUCUUGUCAGCUGUCUAAAAUGGGCCAUUUUGAUUAUCACUACAAAAGUUUUUUUUCUGCUGCUGCUAAUAGCUCAUCUUAAUUAAUUAGCCUCUUACAGUUGGUAUGGCUACUUCCACUUUUUCAUGUUCUCUGUAUGUAUAUAUAUCUUCUUACUAUAUGUUCUAUUCUAGGCAUCUGAUAAAGUGGGCUGUAGCCCACGAAAGCUUAUGCUCAAAUAAAUUUGUUAGUCUCUAAGGUGCCACAAGUACUCCUGUUCUUUUUGCGGAUACAGACUAACAUGGCUGCUACUCUGAAACCUGUCAUAAAAGAUUUAGUUACGCAACCUAUUGUUGGGGCACCAGGGGAAGCCUGGCCCAGUGCUCUCCUGUGAUCUCCACUUACAACUUUAUGGAGAGCCUUAGAAACAAAGAUGAAAGGAAAAUAAGUAUGUACAGUGAAAAACUAAAUAUGAACAUCUUAUUCUUAUACUUACGUAUAUUGAUUUUUCCCAGGAUUUCAAUUAUUUGUAUUAAGUAAAGCUCAUAACAUCUGUGUAUGCUUCACCAAUUUCAUCUUCAGAAUUAACUAGGUAGCCACCUGAAAAAGAACCGGUUAUUCAAGACAAGUACCUGUUGCACCUCUAUAAAUUUUAUAAUUAUAAUAAUUGAUCAGGCUAUAGUAUCAAGGCUUCUCUUCUAAGUCAUGCUUCAGAAUUAAGGAACUUUUUAGAGAACAUGCUUUUCUGGCCAGGUGCUAGUUUUUGGUUUUGUUAACUGGCUUUUCUUCCAGUCCCUCCUGUGAUUUUUUCAUGAUCUUCUGUGAAUUACAUUUAAAAACAAACAAUUAAACCUUGUCUUUCUUUUGUUGCCAACAGAAGCAGCAAAUUGAAUUGGCAGCUUGGAGUUGGCAUAGGCAUGAUGCAGAUGUGAUACACUCAUCCCUAGGAGAAAAUGUUAAGCUUAGGCUAUGGCUCCAUUUCUCAGUGGACUAAUGCAUGAAAUAUCAUUGAUAUGAUCUGUGGCCAAGAGUCCCUUUGGAAAAAAAAAAUAGUGUCACGGUAGCCAUCAGUAACAACCACUAUGGGGAGGUACAGAAUGACCUUUCACCAGAUGCAGACUUAACAGCAGUAGAGAUGCGCCUUAAGUAUAAGACCACAUAUAUGAACCAAAUAUUGAUGUGCUACAGCAAGGUAUGAAUUAUUCAGUGGGAGUUACUAACAGGCUUUAAUAGCAGUGUAUUAGGCCCAGCUUUAAGAGGUGCCACUGGACUCCUCGUUGUUUUUGUGGAUACAGACUAACACGGCUACCCCCAGAUACUUUAUGAGUAGGAAUCCCUUCUCACCAUACGUGCUGUUGUCUGUAGGACCCUGAUUCAUUGGUUGCUGAAGUUGGAAGGUGUGUAGGGAAUGUGGCAGAGAACUGCAGGAAGAGAAAAGAUGUUGCAUGGUUAAAACAACCAAAUGCUGCCCUGGAGAACUGGAUUCUAUCCCUGCCUCAGCCACAGAGUUCCUGUGAGAGGCUAGGCAAGUCACGUGAACCAACAUUUUCAUAGGUGACCUCUGUGUGUUCCUCAUUUUCUAGGCACCCCGCUUGAGAACACAUGGGGUCUGAUUUGCAGAAGUGCUGAGCACUCACAACUGCAACUGAGGUCAAUGAAAGCCGUGCUCUGAAAAUAUAAAAUGCUAGUACAGUACUCUGAAAAAUGUGGCCCUAUACUUCUCAAACUUAAUGCUCAGAAUAUGUUGGCACUUGAGAAUUUUGGCUUUAAUCUCUGUGCCUCAGUUCCGACUGUGUAAAAUGGGGAUGGUACCACCUCAGAUGUAACACAUGGGUGUUGAAGUUAGUUCUUUACAAACAUUAAUGAAUUUAAGACACUACGCUGACAGGACCAUAAAAAAGCCCAUGAGGAAAUUAAUAAUUCUGUAUUCAGUGCUGGGUUUUGCCAGUGCAUUAAACAGUGCAUAGGACCACACAGCGAAUGAUGAAGAUAAAAAGAAGUGGUGAAUAGCUGUUCAUUAAGUGAGUGCCAUCUAUCCUGUUCAUUGAAAAAGGCAAGAGUCCUGUAGAAAAAAAUUGUAUGUGAUCAUAUAGUUAAAAGCUAUCAUAAUGUGCAGACAUACAUAUGAGGGGUAAAUUACUAUAGCACAGGUAGCCUUAAUUCUGGCAUUUCCUAAUUGGAUGUUUAAUUUUGCAACCCUUAACAUAGAUUUUUUUUUAUGUAAUAUAUCUACCGAUGUAGAGAAACAGUGUGUGUAUGUAUUGAUAGGUUUCUAAUUUGUGCAAUAAUAUGAUAUAUCUAUCACCUGGGAACAUCAGUCAAAUUUUACUCUUCUACAUUGGUGAAAAUCUGGAGUAAUUUCUUUGCCAUUAGUAGAAUUUAUCUGGAUUAGGUGAGUUUACUAGAGCAAAAUUUGAUCUACAGUAAAAGCUUUGUAAUCCAACAUGUUGGGGGAAUGGGGGAGGUGGGGUGCGGGUUAGUCAAAAAUUUCGGUUAAUUAAGAGUUAUACUUACCAACGAAAUACCAAUUUUCAAAGAAUAAGAAUACAAUAAAAUGAAUAAAGUAUAAAAUAGUAUACAAGUACUCAGCAAUCCAGUAGUUUUCUAUACAGUAGGUUAUCUUAAAACACUACAUAUCGCUAUGGGCAGCGCAUGGCAUACACACAGAUCACUAAAAAUACACUUAACACUAAAACUAUACCGAACAUAAUUUAAUCUUUGAUGAUUCAGAAGGCACUUCAGGAUCUUGCAGUGCCUCAGGGUCAUCAUUAUCAACAUCAAUUAUCAUUGUAGAUGUUGAAGGUGUAGGAGAUUGGGCUGAAUCUGUAAUGACCCUAUGACACACCUUGGAAGCUGCUUUUUUGAAUAAAUCCCUGA
Molecule: long non-coding RNA, 7202 nt
Organism: Malaclemys terrapin pileata
Lineage: Eukaryota; Metazoa; Chordata; Testudines; Emydidae
Exons: 3
Source: RefSeq, a predicted model, not a curated record